Non-coding RNA from Sander lucioperca (pikeperch), 1042 nucleotides. The record is from the annotation of a RefSeq genome assembly. NCBI's taxonomy places the organism in Eukaryota, Metazoa, Chordata, Actinopteri, Perciformes, Percidae.
UGUUCAACUCUCAGGACUAUAAACUCUCCCAGAGCACUGGAGCAUGGUGCUGCUGAUGCAAAGUGGCUCUCUAUGGAAAUGCUCAGACUGACUCCAACAGGGACUUGGAUUACUCUGAGGAUGCUGUUUCUCUACGGAUCAAUCACUUUAUCAGAGGAUUGAUUCAGAAUGUGUCAGGAAGCAUUUUAAUGUGGAUUUGACUCCAUCACUGUGGAGACAUUUCUUAUAAGAACUUCUCUGUCUCGUUUCAUUUAUUGUUGGAGGGAUCAAUUUCACUUUCAGACAAAUUUAACAAUAAAUCUGUAAAUAUGUGACUAAUUCUUUACAAUUGUGGCAGUGCUUAAUACAUAUACAGUGAAAUAGUAAAUUCUUAUAACAACAGGAAGUGUGUUUGUUGAGUUUGUUGUGUUCAAAGUCAGAGAGCCGUGUCUCUCUACAGUGAGAGGUUUUUGUACGACGGCUCAAUCAGUUUGUAUCACUGUGGUACACGUUUGGUGGAGGAACCAGACUGGAUGUUGGAAUGGGUGAUGUGCGUCCCACCCUGACGGUGCUGCCCCCCUCCAGUGAAGAGCUGGAGCAGGGGAAGGCCACGCUCAUGUGCCUGGCCAACAAGGGCUUCCCCUCAGACUGGAGUCUGGCCUGGAAGGUGGACGGCAGCAGCAGCAGCAGCAGCAGCAGCAGCUGGGAGGAGAGCAGGAGCCCCGGGGUGCUGCAGAAGGACGGCCACUACAGCUGGAGCAGCACCCUGAGGCUCCCUGCAGACCAGUGGAGGAAGGUGGACUCUGUGACCUGUGAGGCCACCCAGGGCUCCCAGACUCCACUCUCAGAGACACUGAGGAGAGACCAGUGUUCCCAGUCCUGAGCUGACUCACUGGCAGGGACUCUGCUACUGGUUUUACUCUGACACUGCUCUCACUCUGCUCUCUGCAACUAGCUCUGGCUUUUAUUUCACCUGUUUCAACAGACAUAUUUACCAGCUUGUUGUAAUGUUUCAAUAUUAUUUCAGUGUUUCCAGAUAAUAAAGACGUAUUCAUCAAAUUAA